RNAcentral lists this non-coding RNA (102 nucleotides) under Maribacter orientalis. The record is from RNAcentral. Lineage: Bacteria; Pseudomonadati; Bacteroidota; Flavobacteriia; Flavobacteriales; Flavobacteriaceae.
CUACAACUACGAGUUGGUCAAGUAGAGAAGUCAGCCGAGGUCAUAGUACCCACGAGAAACGAGUUGCAUAAAACUGCAUAGGUCUCACAAGUGGGGAAGGAC